Molecule: long non-coding RNA, 1257 nt
Filed under: Homo sapiens (human)
Lineage: Eukaryota; Metazoa; Chordata; Mammalia; Primates; Hominidae
Description: HSALNT0148649
Source: RNAcentral
UGCCUCUAUCCCUCUCUGUCCUCAGAGGGUUGGUUCAUCCUCAGUGAGGUGAAAGAGGACAAAGUCUUGUCAGGUCUAGAUACAGCAUAGGACCAUGCAAAGAGUGGGCCGCUUCAGCCAAACGUCGAGCCUGUCAGUUUUACUAACUUCAUAUAAAUGGGAUUAUACUGGAUGUAUUCUCUGUGUCUUGUUUUUCACCCAACAUUAUAUUCUAUAUCCUUACUAGGAUGGGGAUUAUCAGGGAUCACUUUUAAUUAUUCAUUAAACUAUAUACAUAUGCUUUCUGCAUUUUCAGUAUCUGCACUAUACUUCACAAUAAAAGAAGAAUUCAGGGAACCCAAGACAAUUAGCAUUUGUUUUCAACUGACAACCUAGAAUGAGUGUUCUCUUUUAGUCUUAAAAAAAAAAGUGGUUGGGUGUAGUGGCUCACAUCUGUAAUCCCAGAACUUUGGGAGGUGGAGGCAGGAGGAUCACUUGAGACCAAGAAUUCAAGACUAGCCUGGACAACAUGGCAGAUCCUCAUCUCUACAAAAAAUAAAAAAUUAACUGGGCAAGGUAAUGCCUGUAGUCCCAGCAACUCGGGAGGCUGAGGCAGGAGGAUCACCUGGCAGCAGUAAGCCAAGAUCACGUCACUACACUCCAGAGUGACAGCCUGUCUCAAAAAAAAGAAAAAAGUGACUUGGAACCUGCAAGAUCUUCACAAAAGGUAAGAACCUUGGGGAAGUUUUUCACCUGGGAACUUUACCUGAAAGCUUGUCAUUUUUUCACCCCUUGGCGAGUAUUCAGUCAACAGAAGCAUUGCCCUCACUUUAUGGGUCACACAUCACAUGGGACUGUGUCUCUCCUACCAAGUGGUCUAAUCUGUCUGAGCUUUAGUUUCUUCAUAUGGAAAACGAUGAUGUCACUGGCAGCAUGGUGGGGGUUGUGGAGGAUGCCGACAUAAAUGAAGUAUGAGGACACGACUUACCAUACUCUACGAUUGGGUCUAAAAUCUGCACAUGUGGCAAGAAUGGAGACAAUGAUAUUCUCUGCCUCAUAGAGCUGCUGUGAAGAACACAUGAGGUAGGCUGGGCUCCGUGGCUCACACCUGUAAUCCCAGUGCUUUGAGAAGCCAAGACGAAAGGAUCGCUUGAACCCAGGAGUUUGAGACUGCAGUGAGCUAUGUAUGAUCAUGCCACUGCACUCCAGUCUGGGUGACGGAGUGAGACCCAGUCUCUGAAAAAAAAAAAGAAUAUGUGAGGUAAUAUAUGUAAUGUG